CAACAACCUCAGCAUUUUGAUGCUCGAAACUAUCUUCAGGUCAAUGGCCUGCAACCUAACGAUGAUUACCCUAGGCCAGACCAACCACCCCUCCAAUUAGUCUGAUACAUAUAAUUACCAAAGCGCCUAGUGCUGCUGGUUCGUAUAAACGCUUCUACCAUAGUAAUUAAGAAUGAGCAAUUAGCUAGCUUGGUGAUUGGAGAAGACAGAUCAAACUUUUAUCUGCAGGCCAUUGAUGGAUCAUCAUGCUUCAUUGAUUGAUUACAUAGACUUCUACUGUAUGUUUUCUGAGUAAGUCUGCUUAAUUAUUCUACAUAUAUAUAUAUAUAAAUGUUUGAUGUGUAUGGAAAAACACUAGUGGUUUGAUAUAGUUCUUGA
This is a non-coding RNA of Sesamum indicum (sesame), 378 nucleotides long. NCBI's taxonomy places the organism in Eukaryota, Viridiplantae, Streptophyta, Magnoliopsida, Lamiales, Pedaliaceae. The record is from RefSeq and is a predicted model, not a curated record.